Molecule: long non-coding RNA, 836 nt
Filed under: Homo sapiens (human)
Lineage: Eukaryota; Metazoa; Chordata; Mammalia; Primates; Hominidae
Description: HSALNT0287501
Source: RNAcentral
UUCAAACUCCAUCUCCAACAUCAUUUCUUCUUUGCAGCUGUCCCCCACAGGUCUCUCUGGCUUCAUACAAUGGCUGGCCUACAUCUCCAUCAAAGCACUUCCUCCAUCACAGGGCAACCAUCCACUUAGCUGCCCAGAUAGAGCUCUAUGAACUGCUUUGCUCCUCAAGGGCUUUUGAUUCGUUACCUGUUCCAGGGAAGUAAGCAUGCCCAGUUCAUGUGCCAAGACUCCAAGGGCAUUUACAGGAGAAAGCCAGCAACUCAUUGGCAAUCUGGGGGAGCCCCAGAGAAAAGAGGCCAUGGCCAAGGGCACUCAAGGGCAGUCAGCAGAGCCAGGGCUGGACCACUAGCUCCUGAUCCCCCAGGCCAGCGCACCCCAGGUCACCCAUUCAGAUCCAGGCAGCCUAAUGCCACAUAGGUGCCCAUGUGGGAAGGAGGCAGUCAGGAUAUGGGCUCCACCCUGAGGUUCUCUUAACAUGAAGGGCUGAAAAAGCACAAAUGGAUCAUUAGGAACUGUGAGAAAGAAGAUAUGUUGGCAGACACUAGAACCUUCCAUUCCAGUCUGUAUCUCUUGUCACCAGCACUGCCUAGUCAUUGAUCGUGGAAGGCUCCAAAAGAUGGUGGACCCAAAGUCGAGACUCUUUGCCAGCUCUGCCUCUUACCGGCUCCAGGAGGUCUGUUCAUAUUAACUCAUUCGGCCCAGAGAAUUUCCCAAAGAACUUUCUAGAGUGACUGGGGUAGGGGAGAAAAGGAGGGAAGAGGAUGGAGGCCUCUCAGCUUCUUUUGUCCUGUAUCACAGCCUGGCUCCCAGCAACACUUUUGGGAUGCCUCUUGUAG